ACGUAAUACCCGGUUCAGUGGUCAUUGUGAUAUCCAAGUGGUCAACCCCACACAAUUCUCAGCACCAAUCUCACUCACAGUCACGGCACAGAACUCAGAUCCUGGUUGGAGUCCCAACUCCUGACUCGUAAGCAAAACUUUGAAAUUUCGCAUCUCCUUUUCACUAUAUCCUCAAAGAAACUGCAAUCGAUCAAGCAAGUCUCCAGUCGUUGAAGUACGAUCAGCGUAAUUACCCAGAUCGUAUAAAUUAGAAAAUGCCUUACAGGAGAAUCAUGGAGGUAGAGCCGCCGAGUCCGUUAAGGUACAUAAUCGGCGCAGCAAUAAUGAUGAUCGGAGUGGUGUUACCCGUCGGUUACAUGAUGUUUCGUAACAAGAGGGGUCCUUCUUCUUCUUCCAAUUACUCCAAACAGACGUAGGGCAAAGUUUUGAUAGAGAUUUAAAGAGAGGAUUUUUAUACAAUAGAAAUUGCGCUGUCUGGGUUAAGUUUGAAGGAGUUGCAAGAAGAAAAGGAUGAGGUGCAUUGACGGAAAAUCUAAUUCUGUUAUAUUUGUUAUUGCUGGGGAACUUGAGUUUUAUAAAAUGGAACUGAGUGUGGUUUGAUUCUAUGUUUUUGAUCUAGUAAAUAUGCUAAUGCCAUUUCAAACUCGUCUUUGUUCGUUGGAUGAAUAUGUGCAAGAAGGACAGGCACUUGAUUGAAUUUGUCUUCUUGUUCUGUUUCUAGCCAUUAUCAUCUAGGGAACCUGCGUAUGAGAAUACGCAACGGGUUAUGUGUUUUUGUGGUGAAUUUCACAUUUACUUUGUAGAAUCUAGAAUGUCAAGUGAUGUCGCUGACACUGCAGAAUGCUUGUUGUUUGAA
Populus euphratica (Euphrates poplar) is the source of this 856-nucleotide long non-coding RNA. RefSeq lists it as uncharacterized. The transcript is spliced from 3 exons. The record is from RefSeq and is a predicted model, not a curated record. NCBI's taxonomy places the organism in Eukaryota, Viridiplantae, Streptophyta, Magnoliopsida, Malpighiales, Salicaceae.